This 67-nucleotide transfer RNA is filed under the name Kinyongia vosseleri. RNAcentral's name for it is "transfer RNA-Ala". Lineage: Eukaryota; Metazoa; Chordata; Lepidosauria; Squamata; Chamaeleonidae. The record is from RNAcentral.
GAAAGCCUGUUGAAACUAUCAACAUCUCCUGGAUGCAACCCAGACACUCUAAUUAAGNUAAGACCUC